Erpetoichthys calabaricus (reedfish) is the source of this 566-nucleotide long non-coding RNA. RefSeq lists it as uncharacterized. NCBI's taxonomy places the organism in Eukaryota, Metazoa, Chordata, Cladistia, Polypteriformes, Polypteridae. The transcript is spliced from 3 exons. The record is from RefSeq and is a predicted model, not a curated record.
CUGUCUGUAGUGGUUUUGAUGUUCCAGAAACAGCUACCUUUCAAAAUCCAGAUAUUUUCAAUGUAUGUUUAUAAUGGUUUGCAUAAAUAUUUUUGUAACAUUAAACUCCUUUUAACAACAUGACUCUGCUCAGUUCUCUUUAGAAUGACAUGCUGGCUUUGAGGAAGUGCUGGUGUAGAAUGUUACUUGAGAACUCCAGCCCCAAGGGGUUUAGACUUUAUUGAGCCAUUAAUGAGAAGACAGAAGAUAAUUAAAGACUUGCACUACGUCUGAAAUGGAAAAAAAAUGUCUUGCUAUUCUGUUCCAUAGCACUGCGUUCUGCAGAUUUCAGAUCUUUACUUUUAGAAGAAACAUCAGCCUUCCUUCUCCAACAUCCAGCACAGGGCACUGAUGAGCAGCAACACAGAAUCCUUCAGCAUCUUACCAAGGCAGAGAAGUGGUGUGCUGAGAACAUUUCUGUGUUCAGGGGGCACAUCUCACUCCCUGCAUUACUGUCAAUGGACAAAGACGACAUUGAGGAGGCCCUUCAGAAAUAUGAGUUGCUAUCUGAGUUUCCAGAAGAAGAU